Helianthus annuus (common sunflower) is the source of this 991-nucleotide long non-coding RNA. RefSeq lists it as uncharacterized. The record is from RefSeq and is a predicted model, not a curated record. Lineage: Eukaryota; Viridiplantae; Streptophyta; Magnoliopsida; Asterales; Asteraceae. The transcript is spliced from 7 exons.
UAAGACAAUAUAUAAGCAUGAACUUGUAAGCCUUUUAAAUAACCUUUGAAACUAGAGGGACCAAAAGGGGGCAAAGAUGAAAGAUUGUUUUUGAUUAAAAUAAAUAAACACCAAAACACACACUUGAGUGUGUGUUUGGUCGUACAUCAUCAGGAGCACAAGAAGGGUUCCUUCAAAACCCUAAAACCCACAAAUUCAACAAAAUCAAAGGGAAAUAGAGCUAGAGAAUUGGGGCUUUAACUAAAUUCGUGAUCACCUCAGUAAAGGGAUCAUAAGACAAAGGAAUCGAGUCUUUAAGCGGACAAACCGGAGUGGACACGCGCUUGAAGGGAAUGCUUUAAAGGAUACUCGCAUCCGAAGAUGGCGAGGGUGUAACAAGUGACGGAUAGGAUAGAAGAACGGUCCGAAGUAUGACAAGUGGAGCAUGCUCAUUAAGGACCAAGUUGCGUAACAAUCGUGAAUAGGAAUAAUGGCAAGGAACGCCCGUCGGGGCAAGCAUUACAGACAAAGGAAUCGAGUCUUUAAGCGGACAAACCGGAGUGGACACGCGCUUGAAGGGAAUGCUUUAAAGGAUACUCGCAUCCGAAGAUGGCGAGGGUGUAACAAGUGACGGAUAGGAUAGAAGAACGGUCCGAAGUAUGACAAGUGGAGCAUGCUCAUUAAGGACCAAGUUGCGUAACAAUCGUGAAUAGGAAUAAUGGCAAGGAACGCCCGUCGGGGCAAGCAUUACAGACAAAGGAAUCGAGUCUUUAAGCGGACAAACCGGAGUGGACACGCGCUUGAAGGGAAUGCUUUAAAGGUGAAUGUCGAGAGUCCCGGAUGAAGAUCAAGCAUCGAGCAAGAACCGAACACACGUUAAACAAAGCUUCCGCAAUGUUGUUUCGUCGUUAUUCAAUAACGGCGAAUUAAAAUCACAUUAUGUUGUAUCACUUUAAAUUGUAAAAGUUUUUAACAAACCCGUAUUUUCAGUAUAAUUGUGACUAUAAUUACA